AUGUUGAAAGCUGUGAAGGGAGAAAUGAGACAGAAGUUGCUGUCCAUAGAGGCCAGAGCUAAUGGAAAGAAAGAGCAUCCAUAUCUAUGGUACAUAUUGACAAAAUCUACAUUUGAGAAUAGUAUUAGAAGUACCAAGAACCAGCACCUCCAGGGAAAGCAUCACCUUUGGCAAGUUAGUAUAUAUGUUCUAGAAUAUUCCCCUAACCAACUGAAAUUUUCCAGCCUUCCAGUUGGAAAACUCCUUCAGGAUAUUAAGUAUAAUAGGAUAAGGCUGGCCAAGUGUGAAGGCACAGAGUUGAAAGACCUAGAAGGUAUCUGGCCUUUGGCAAAAUGUCUAUGGCAAAAAUUGCAGAUAGGAAAGACCUGGCUCUAGAGAAAUAAGAUGAACCGGAAGAGGGUGCAGGGUAAUCCUGGUAAACUUGGCAGGAGGAGCUAAAGCCUGAGGAUCAGUGCCUCAGAAAAAUGAGCCCUGCCCAGUCAAUACAGAACACUACAGGCAAUCUGGGGCCACCAUCAGAGGAUAUGGAACCAGCCCCAUGAUUACUGACUGCUGGGUAAAAUGACCUGCUCUUAGAGACAGGCAGUCAGAUAUCUUUGAGGGAAAACAUCUAGACUGGAACAAGGCAGAAAUGCUGACCCUGAGGAGCUCUUUACAUGGAGGAGAACUUGGAUGUACUAUGCAGGGAACAAGUAUUUCUAUGACUGAGGUGGGGGGAGGUCUUUCUUUCCAGAAAGUCAGGCACACCAGAGAAAUUCAGAAUCAACACCAGUGCUCAGACUUAAAGGGUCCCAAUGAAAGGAUGAAGGAUCUUCCAAUGAGAGCAAAAAUGUGAUUGCAAAGCGUUCCUGAUGAUUCCAAGCAUGCUUGGAGACACAGGUCCAUGCCUGGGGAGAAGCAAAUUCAUAUCUCCCUUUUUUCUCAGUCCAAAAAAGAAUAACAAAUGCAUACUAACAUUUGUUUGUACUGUGUAUUACAAAGGGCUGUUGUUAUUUUGUUCUGAGCUAGACAGCUCUUAUAUUCACUUACUGUCCUUAUUUAUAUUUUGUAGCACAGAUGGAAUGUAAAUAUGGGAAGGAAGAGCUAUCCCUCCCCCUUGAAAAUGAGUGGACAUGAAAUAUCUCUAAACAAAGGAACUCAUGAUUAAUAAAUCCUACAUUUGACAAAUAGUUACUUCUUGA
This 1181-nucleotide long non-coding RNA is filed under the name Vulpes vulpes (red fox). RNAcentral describes it as "lncRNA (ENSVVUG00000007653.1)". The record is from RNAcentral. Lineage: Eukaryota; Metazoa; Chordata; Mammalia; Carnivora; Canidae.